UGGCGGACGGGGGAGUAAUGUCUGGGAAACUAGCCUGAUGGAGGGGGGUAACUACUGGAAACGGUAGCUAAUACCGCAUAACGUCGCAAGACCAAAGAGGGGGACCUUCGGGCCUCUUGCCAUCGGAUGUGCCCAGAUGGGAUUAGCUAGUAGGUGGGGUAACGGCUCACCUAGGCGACGAUCCCUAGCUGGUCUGAGAGGAUGACCAGCCACACUGGAACUGAGACACGGUCCAG
This 236-nucleotide ribosomal RNA is filed under the name uncultured bacterium. RNAcentral's name for it is "partial 16S ribosomal RNA". It matches the Rfam family "Bacterial small subunit ribosomal RNA", at positions 96 to 334 of the family's 1533-position model. The record is from RNAcentral.